GGCCGAUCAAAGUCAGACAGAGUGCUUGUAUUGUAAGAAGCAGGAUCGUUGGAAAAGGAGCUAUCUUCAAUACAUAAUUUUUCUUGAUCCAAGCAGGUUGAAAAAGAAGAAGCAAUUGGUUGUUGGACAAGAUAAUUAUAUGAUAACACCUUGUAACUUCUCAAUUUUUGAUACAAUGACCUAAAUAUUAGAUACUGGUAGUCCUAUUAACAUUUGCAAUUCAUUGUAGGGA
This 232-nucleotide long non-coding RNA is filed under the name Elaeis guineensis (African oil palm). RNAcentral's name for it is "long non-coding RNA (EGUI_LNC014843)". Lineage: Eukaryota; Viridiplantae; Streptophyta; Magnoliopsida; Arecales; Arecaceae. The record is from RNAcentral.